This 1568-nucleotide long non-coding RNA is filed under the name Mytilus galloprovincialis (Mediterranean mussel). The record is from RNAcentral. Lineage: Eukaryota; Metazoa; Mollusca; Bivalvia; Mytilida; Mytilidae.
GCAAAUACCACAAAUGUGUGACUACAGCAUAUCCUGAUUGAUUUAUUUUACAGGGAUGAAAAUAUUGUUAUUUUAUCCCUAAUUGUUUUUUUUAAUAAAAUGCUUUCAACCCAAGAUUCUAAGGAUAUUCUCUUAUAGUAAAGCUAAACUAGUGUGUGUUGUCUUGCUUUAUAGCCAGCAAUUAUUUAUUUUAUUUGAAAAUUCUGCUAUUGUAUACUACAUAGUUUUUUAUUAUUAAAGUAUUUAAAAAAAAUUGUACUUACCAUAUUGUUAGCAUAAUAUACAGUAAGGAAAUAGUAUUUGUAAUAGUUGAUAGUUUGUGUUGUCAAUGUGAUAAUACAUAUCUCUUCUGUAUAUAAAUGGCAUACUUGAAACCUAUAGAAAUUCUUACUUGGUAGGCUAAAGUAUUACAACUGUUGUAGAUAUUUUCUUUCAUGUUUUUUUCUUUUAAUUGCUUGUUUGAGUUCCUUAUUUUUCUUUAGUUUUCUAAAACAUUAAAAAAUGAAGGUAUUCUAAGCCUUAACUGUGACAAUCAAAUAUGAUAUUUGAGAAAAACAUAAAAGAAUGCAGACAAAAUUGGAAGUUUUAUUUAUUUAUUAAGAAAGACCAAUGGUUGAAUAUGUUUUCUUUGAAAUAUUUAUUUGUAUAUUUUGAGGAAUUGUUAUUAAAUUUUUCCAUGUCUUCUACAUUUUAUUUUUAAAUAUUUGAAUUCUUUCACAGUCAGUGUCCUUGUCAAUAAAGACAAAGUCUUAGGGCAAAGUCAUUGGGGUAUAUUUUUCUAGGACUUUUGUUCCAUUUUGGAAUAUAGGAGCAAUAAGUUUAUUUACCAACCAUUAAGCAAGAAUCAUGCUCCUUAAUAUAAUAAUAUAAUUUUGAAGUAUCACUGCGGUCAUCUUUUAGAGGUCUUAGUGACUGAGGGAUCAAAAUGGUUGGUCUACAACUACAUGUACAGCUUUCAUUAGCAAAUAAGAUAUAAUGAAAUACUUAUGUCAUUUGUGAAGAUUAUUUUGACUUGGAGAUCAAGUAGAUCUAUUAGUAUGUAAUAGAAUUGGUUUUUUUUUAAAGAGAUACAAUGUUGCAUAUUAAACUCACUGCAUUGCCUGCAUAAGGAGUGCAAAUCAUCUUUACUUGAAUGAUUUUGUACAAUACCAGUCUUGAAAAGCUAUAUAAGGUAUUAUAAUCAUGUAACCAAAAUUUUUUCAGUCUUGAUUCUAUUAUUCAGUUCUUCAUUAGAGUUGGCAGCUGAGCCAUCAUAAGCAUGAAAUGAUAGUUAAACUCUAUCAGUGUAUAUCUGUUGAUGGAUAGUUUGAAAGAAUUUCUAAUAUGCUUAACAUAUCUUUUGAAUUUUGAAUUAAGACAUUUGAUGUUAUAAGACAUACAAAUUAGUUUUCAAAAGUAUCACAAAAUAAUAAAAUUCAUCUACUUGAAUUUUUUAGGGAAAAACUAGCCUAGUCAUUAUAAUGAUGACAUCCUCUGUUGUGGUAAUAAUGCACUUUGGCUAUGUUUUGAUUUCUAAAACCUGUGUAAAAACAAUCAUUAGAAAAUAAAUAAUGUUAUGUUUAAGUUCU